AGCCUGAUGCAGCCAUGCCGCGUGUAUGAAGAAGGCCUUCGGGUUGUAAAGUACUUUCAGCGGGGAGGAAGGUGUUGUGGUUAAUAACCGCAGCAAUUGACGUUACCCGCAGAAGAAGCACCGGCUAUUCUGAGAAUACAUACCCGGUAACAAUGCCUUUCCCGUCCUGAUACCACUCAGCCAUCAUCGCUUCAAGGUCAUCUACGGCAUCCUGCAUAGACUGUGGCUCAACAUCAGUGAGAGUUGCA
RNAcentral lists this ribosomal RNA (248 nucleotides) under Salmonella enterica subsp. enterica serovar Cerro. Its description in RNAcentral is "partial 16S ribosomal RNA". It matches the Rfam family "Bacterial small subunit ribosomal RNA", at positions 380 to 536 of the family's 1533-position model. Lineage: Bacteria; Pseudomonadati; Pseudomonadota; Gammaproteobacteria; Enterobacterales; Enterobacteriaceae. The record is from RNAcentral.